RNAcentral lists this ribosomal RNA (315 nucleotides) under Neochela dadiburjori (dadio). Its description in RNAcentral is "partial 12S ribosomal RNA". It matches the Rfam family "Bacterial small subunit ribosomal RNA", at positions 868 to 1304 of the family's 1533-position model. Lineage: Eukaryota; Metazoa; Chordata; Actinopteri; Cypriniformes; Danionidae. The record is from RNAcentral.
UCCGCCAGGAUAUUACAAGCAUUAGCUUAAAACCCAAAGGACCUGACGGUGCCUUAGAUCCGCCUAGAGGAGCCUGUCCUAGAACCGAUUACCCUCGUUAAACCUCACCACCCCUAGCAUUUACAGCCUAUAUACCGCCGUCGCCAGCUUACCCUGUGAAGGUAAAGAAGUAAGCAAGAUGGAUCAACACCCAGAACGUCAGGUCGAGGUGUAGCACACGGAGUGGGAAGAGAUGGGCUACAUUUUCUGUCACAGAAUAUAACGAAUGAGUAAUAUGAAAAAUUACCUAAAGGAGGAUUUAGCAGUAAGGGGGGA